AUAGGAAGACUGUAUCCCGCGAGGAGAUCGAGGUAAAUGACGUGAGCAAGGAAAUGGACUUGGAUAUUAUCAAACUGAACAGUCAGGUUGAGAGAGUUAUUGCAGACAGAAUCAGCAAAGAUGGUUAUGGUAAUGUGGUGCCAGAAUAUUUAGUUAAAUGGAAAGGGCUGUCUUAUGCUGAAGCAACUUGGGAGAAGGAUGUUGAUAUUGCUUUUGGUCAAGAUGCCAUCGAUGAGUAUAAGGCUCGUG
RNAcentral lists this unclassified non-coding RNA (249 nucleotides) under Hevea brasiliensis (rubber tree). The record is from RNAcentral. Lineage: Eukaryota; Viridiplantae; Streptophyta; Magnoliopsida; Malpighiales; Euphorbiaceae.